GAUGAACGCUGGCGGCGUGCCUAAUACAUGCCAGUCGAGCGAACAGACGAGGAGCUUGCUCCUCUGACGUUAGCGGCGGACGGGUGAGUAACACGUGGAUAACCUACCUAUAAGACUGGGAUAACUUCGGGAAACCGGAGCUAAUACCGGAUAAUAUAUUGAACCGCAUGGUUCAAUAGUGAAAGACGGUUUUGCUGUCACUUAUAGAUGGAUCCGCGCCGCAUUAGCUAGUUGGUAAGGUAACGGCUUACCAAGGCAACGAUGCGUAGCCGACCUGAGAGGGUGAACGGCCACACUGGAACUGAAAAACGGUCCAGACUCCUACGGGAGGCAGCAGUAGGGAAUCUUCAGCAAUGGGCGAAAGCCUGACGGAGCAACGCCGCGUGAGUGAUGAAGGUCUUCGGAUCGUAAAACUCUGUUAUUAGGGAAGAACAAAUGUGUAAGUAACUAUGCACGUCUUGACGGUACCUAAUCAGAAAGCCACGGCUAACUACGUG
Molecule: ribosomal RNA, 497 nt
Filed under: uncultured bacterium
Lineage: Bacteria
Description: partial 16S ribosomal RNA
Rfam family: Bacterial small subunit ribosomal RNA
Source: RNAcentral